UCUUGAAAACGUUGCGUAAUGAUGACGUGUACGCUUGACGUCACAGUCUGUUAGGAAUAAAAGCGCUGCGCAUACACACAGCUAAAAGUCGUCUGCUUUAACGGCAUAAUUACACAGUAUUUUGGAGAUCUGUGUUGCUGAAUCUUUUGCAAUUUGUUCAAUUAAUAUUGGAGAAGUCAAAGACGGAGUUGGGAAGUUUUAGCCUUUAGCCACACAAACACACAGUGAUUCCUUGUUUAAAAUUCACGGAGGUGAAACAUUACUAUGGAUCAGAGCGGACAUGGAUCCCAACCGAAUGUCAAACAGCAGGUUUCGCUGCCGUCGACUUCCCUGAGACAGUGCGCGUCAACACCCGGCCGUGGACAUACACUUCCGACUAUCAGUCUGGAUGCUGCGUCACGGCUGACUCCACAGCUCCAACUUGUUCUCCUGCUCUGAUUGGCUGCAGCCUCCCAACAUGGCACGACCUGAUUGGCUACCUCUCGGCAGCAG
Nerophis ophidion (straightnose pipefish) is the source of this 492-nucleotide long non-coding RNA. RefSeq lists it as uncharacterized. The transcript is spliced from 3 exons. Lineage: Eukaryota; Metazoa; Chordata; Actinopteri; Syngnathiformes; Syngnathidae. The record is from RefSeq and is a predicted model, not a curated record.